Non-coding RNA from Podarcis lilfordi (Lilford's wall lizard), 88 nucleotides. The record is from the annotation of a GenBank genome assembly. Lineage: Eukaryota; Metazoa; Chordata; Lepidosauria; Squamata; Lacertidae.
AACACAGCCAGAUGGGCGGGGUAUGUAUGUAUGUAUGUAUGUAUAAAUAAAUAAUUUAUUAUUUAUACCCCGCCCAUCUGGCUGGGUU